CGCAUUUAAUGCAUGUCCAAUGUAUUCUUUGUUCAAUAAAACACCCUGACCCUGGUUGACGUGAAACCUCAAAAGAACAUCUAUUUUCUAUUCUCACACUCGAUAACAAAACUCCUUCAGUGACGUCAGCUUUAUUAGUUACAAAUGACGCAGAUUUAUUCGACCUGCAGUUAACAGUUAAAAAGUACAUUGUAAAAAUAGUUGUUGAUUGUUUUUUUCAUACCGUAAAUGGAAAAAAGAAUGGUCUCAGUCUAAUGACGGACACAAAGCACUUCUUUGUCUUCUCUUUGAUGUAUAACAAAAAACGUUUAAGCCACCGUGUAAAGCUUUUAAAAGCAAUUGCAUGAUUCCCUUUCUGAGUCAUAAUUGUAGGUCAUUCAUGCAGGUGUCAGUAGUUCAGUUUUUCCACACAUCCACAAAAACAUACAUUCAGUUCUAAUUUAUGACUCAUUAUAACUCUGUGAUACUCUGGUUUAUAGCUCAUUAUAACUCAGUGAUGCUCUGGUUUAUAACACAUUAUAACUCUCAGUGAUACUCUGGUUUAUAACACAUUAUAACUCUCAGUGAUACUCUGGUUUAUAACACAUUAUAACUCUCAGUGAUACUCUGGUUUAUAGCUCAUUAUAACUCAGUGAUACUCUGGUUUAUAACACAUUAUAACUCUCAGUGAUACUCUGGUUUAUAACACAUUAUAACUCUCAGUGAUACUCUGGUUUAUAACACAUUAUAACUCUCAGUGAUACUCUGGUUUAUAACACAUUAUAACUCAGUGAUACUCUGGUUUAUAGCUCAUUAUAACUCAGUGAUACUGUGGUUUAUAACUCAUAACUCAGUGAUACUCUGGUUUUGUCUGAGAAAUAAACAACACCAAACUAAUACAAAACACAAUGAACAACAUCAAUAAUUCAACCCUUCAGCAAAAGUAAAAGCACCAUUGAUAGCAAACCAUCCCUUUUACCAUCCCUCUACUAGCAGUGUAGUGUUGUUUUGUGACAAUGGCCAUAAGUGUAGGCUAUACAGCACAAACUGAUCUGGGACCCAGGGUUAACAAAAUGGGGGGCCUGAAGUCUUUGGGAUUGUGUCAAACCACGCUUGCUAAGGCAGGAGAAAUGAGUCAUAGCAUUAUUGGUUACAGCAGACUGAUUGGUUACAUUGAGAAAAAAAGUCCCUGAUUCUAUCAUAUAUAACAUAUAGCAUUCAAAGCUAUAGCAUUGAAUACAUAUAUUAAAUUCAACAUAUUGCAUUGAAUACAUAUAUUAAACUCAACAUAUAGCAUUGAAUACAUACGGUAUUCAAGCUCACAAGGAAAAGGGGGUACGUUAUCAUCAUAGUCCACCAUUAAGGUCGUCCCUAAACAGGUUCCAUCUUUGUCGUCACUUGCACUGUAGUAUAGUUCAUCCAACUCCAUGUGUGCGUAAGUAGGAAGUAGCCCAAGGAGCAAUGUUUUCAGUUGUACAGACCAGUCUUUGACCACUGAAGUGAUCAGAUACGUUUCCAGCCGCUUGGCACAAGGAGAGAAAGAGACAUUGUAUCUGUUCCUUUUCUUCUUUUUUUUAGAUUGUCAUGUCUGCAAAGUCUGGUCGUGUGAACCCUUUCUGUAAAACACAAACAUGAGAGACAUUUUGUCAGGGCAUAUAUCAAAGUAUGUAUAAUACUGUUAGCUUUGUCCCAGAUUUACUUGUCCAGAAGGACAAUGACAACUGUGUAUAAGUCUUGAAUUAGAAAGAAAAAAAAAUGUAUUUUUGUCAACUCCGUAAAACAUUAACUCUGUCAGAGUGCUGAAAGAUCUGAUAGAAUUUUUAUGUUUUCAUUUUCCAUAUUUUACAAAUGUUUGUAUUGAACUUUAAUUUUUAGAGGCAAAAAUUUGAGGUCUGUGUUGAGUAUUUGUUGUUAACUCAAUCACUGACUAACCGCCCUCAGAGGAAAACAAAGACCUAAAAACUCUCUUUUGGUAUUUGUUUCAUUAGUCCAUUGUUGCAAAACCUGAUCUGGGACCAGGCUAACAUACUGAUCUCGACCAGGCUAAAAUACUAACAUACUGAUCUGGGACCAGGCUAACAUACUAACAUACUGAUCUGGGACCAGGCUAACAUACUGAUCUGGGACCAGGCUAACAUACUGAUCUGGGACCAGGCUAACAUACUGAUCUGGGACCAGGCUAACAUACUGAUCUGGGACCAGGCUAACAUACUGAUCUGGGACCAGGCUAACAUACUGAUCCGGGACCAGGCUAACAUACUGAUCCGGGACCAGGCUAACAUACUGAUCUGGGACCAGGCUAACAUACUGAUCUGGACCAGGCUAACAUACUGAUCUGGGACCAGGCUAACAUACUGAUCUGGAACCAGGCUGACAUACUGAUCUGGGAUACAGGCUAACAUACUGAUCUGGGACCAGGCUAACAUACUAACAUACUGAUCUAGGACCAGGCUAACAUACUAACAUACUGAUCUGGGACCAGGCUAACAUACUGAUCUGGGACCAGGCUAACAUACUGAUCUGGGACCAGGCUAAUAUCCUGAUCUGGGAACAGGCUAACAUACUGAUCUGGGACCAGGCUAACAUAUACUAAUAUACUGAUCUGGGAACAGGGUAAUAUCGUGAUCUGGGACCAGGCUAAUAUCCUGAUCUGGGACCAGGCUAACAUACUGAUCUGGGACCAGUCUAACAUACUAAUAUACUGAUCUGGGAACAGGCUAACAUACUGAUCUGGGACCAGGCUAACAUACUAAUAUACUGAUCUGGGAACAGGGUAAUAUCUUGAUCUGGGACCAGGCUAACAUACUGAUCUGGGACCAGGCUAACAUACUGAUCUGGGACCAGGCUAACAUACUGAUCUGGGACCAGGCUAACAUACUGAUCUGGGACCAGGCUAACAUACUGUGUGUCUGUGAACAUUGGACCUCAGAAAAG
This is a long non-coding RNA of Oncorhynchus tshawytscha (Chinook salmon), 2913 nucleotides long. The record is from Ensembl. Lineage: Eukaryota; Metazoa; Chordata; Actinopteri; Salmoniformes; Salmonidae.